This 614-nucleotide ribosomal RNA is filed under the name uncultured bacterium. RNAcentral describes it as "bacterial SSU rRNA". It matches the Rfam family "Bacterial small subunit ribosomal RNA", at positions 796 to 1411 of the family's 1533-position model. The record is from RNAcentral.
CUAGCCCUAAACCAUCAGGACUUGGGGUGGCUCGCGUAGGCGGGUCGUCCCGUAGCUAACGCGUUAAGUCCUGCGCCUGGGGAGUACGGUCGCAAGACUGAAACUCAAAGGAAUUGACGGGGGCCCGCACAAGCGGUGGAACAUGUGGUUCAAUUCGACGCAACGCGAAGAACCUUACCUGGGCUUGAACCGCCGGCGACCAACGGUCGAAAGAUCGUCUUUUCGCAAGAAACGCCGGUAGAGGUGCUGCAUGGCUGUCGUCAGCUCGUGCCGUGAGGUGUUGGGUUAAGUCCCGCAACGAGCGCAACCCUUACUCGUAGUUGCCACCCGCAAGGGGGAACUCUACGAGGACUGCUCCGGAUAACGGAGAGGAAGGUGGGGAUGACGUCAAGUCAGCAUGGCCUUUAUGUCCAGGGCUACACACGUGUUACAAUGCGCGGCACAGACCGUUGCGAACCCGCGAGGGGGAGCUAAUCGGAAAAAACCGCGCUCAGUUCGGACUGCAGUCUGCAACUCGACUGCACGAAGCCGGAAUCGCUAGUAAUGGCGUAUCAGAUCGACGCCGUGAAUACGUUCCCGGGCCUUGUACUCACCGCCGUCGGUACAGUCGUAGA